UUACUAGAUUUGGCAGCACAUAUACUAAGAUUGGAAUGAUACAGAGAAGAUUAGCAUGGCCCCUGCUCAAGAAUGACAUGCAAGUUUGUGAAACAUUCCAUAUUUUU
This is a small nuclear RNA of Arvicanthis niloticus (Nile rat), 107 nucleotides long. NCBI's taxonomy places the organism in Eukaryota, Metazoa, Chordata, Mammalia, Rodentia, Muridae. The record is from RefSeq and is a predicted model, not a curated record.